RNAcentral lists this ribosomal RNA (1343 nucleotides) under uncultured bacterium. RNAcentral's name for it is "16S ribosomal RNA". It matches the Rfam family "Bacterial small subunit ribosomal RNA", at positions 28 to 1378 of the family's 1533-position model. The record is from RNAcentral.
GACGAACGCUGGCGGCGUGCUUAACACAUGCAAGUCGAACGGAAAGGCCCUGCUUUUGUGGGGUGCUCGAGUGGCGAACGGGUGAGCAACACGUGAGUAACCUGCCCUUGACUUUGGGAUAACUUCAGGAAACUGGGGCUAAUACCGGAUAGGAGCUCCUGCUGCAUAGUGGGGGUUGGAAAGUUUCGGCGGUUGGGGAUGGACUCGCGGCUUAUCAGCUUGUUGGUGGGGUAGUGGCUUACCAAGGCUUUGACGGGUAGCCGGCCUGAGAGGGUGACCGGCCACAUUGGGACUGAGAUACGGCCCAGACUCCUACGGGAGGCAGCAGUGGGGAAUAUUGCACAAUGGGCGGAAGCCUGAUGCAGCAACGCCGCGUGCGGGAUGACGGCCUUCGGGUUGUAAACCGCUUUCGCCUGUGACGAAGCGUGAGUGACGGUAAUGGGUAAAGAAGCACCGGCUAACUACGUGCCAGCAGCCGCGGUGAUACGUAGGGUGCGAGCGUUGUCCGGAUUUAUUGGGCGUAAAGGGCUCGUAGGUGGUUGAUCGCGUCGGAAGUGUAAUCUUGGGGCUUAACCCUGAGCGUGCUUUCGAUACGGGUUGACUUGAGGAAGGUAGGGGAGAAUGGAAUUCCUGGUGGAGCGGUGGAAUGCGCAGAUAUCAGGAGGAACACCAGUGGCGAAGGCGGUUCUCUGGGCCUUUCCUGACGCUGAGGAGCGAAAGCGUGGGGAGCGAACAGGCUUAGAUACCCUGGUAGUCCACGCUGUAAACGGUGGGUACUAGGUGUGGGGUCCAUUCCACGGGUUCCGUGCCGUAGCUAACGCUUUAAGUACCCCGCCUGGGGAGUACGGCCGCAAGGCUAAAACUCAAAGGAAUUGACGGGGCCCCGCACAAGCGGCGGAGCAUGCGGAUUAAUUCGAUGCAACGCGUAGAACCUUACCUGGGUUUGACAUGGAUCGGGAGUGCUCAGAGAUGGGUGUGCCUCUUUUGGGGUCGGUUCACAGGUGGUGCAUGGCUGUCGUCAGCUCGUGUCGUGAGAUGUUGGGUUAAGUCCCGCAACGAGCGCAACCCUUGUUCACUGUUGCCAGCACGUUAUGGUGGGGACUCAGUGGAGACCGCCGGGGUCAACUCGGAGGAAGGUGGGGAUGACGUCAAGUCAUCAUGCCCCUUAUGUCCAGGGCUUCACGCAUGCUACAAUGGCUGGUACAGAGAGUGGCGAGCCUGUGAGGGUGAGCGAAUCUCGGAAAGCCGGUCUCAGUUCGGAUUGGGGUCUGCAACUCGACCUCAUGAAGUCGGAGUCGCUAGUAAUCGCAGAUCAGCAACGCUGCGGUGAAUACGUUCCCGGG